CCUACGGGGGGCAGCAGUGGGGGAUAUUGCACAAUGGGGGGAACCCUGAUGCAGCGACGCCGCGUGGGUGAAGAAGCGCCUCGGCGCGUAAAGCCCUGUCAGCAGGGAAGAAAAUGACGGUACCUGAAGAAGAAGCCCCGGCUAACUACGUGCCAGCAGCCGCGGUAAUACGUAGGGGGCAAGGGUUAUCGGGAUUUACUGGGGGUAAAGGGGGCGCAGACGGCGAUGCAAGCCAGAGGGGAAAGCCGGGGGCCGAACCCCGGGACUGCUCUUGGAACUGAGUGGCUGGAGGGCAGGAGGGGCAGGCGGAAUUCCUGGUGUAGAGGUGAAAUGCGUAGAUAUCAGGAGGAACACCGGUGGCGAAGGCGGCCUGCUGGACUGCAACUGACGUUGAGGCCCGAAAGCGUGGGGAGCAAACAGGAUUAGAUACCCCUGUAGUC
RNAcentral lists this ribosomal RNA (440 nucleotides) under uncultured bacterium. RNAcentral's name for it is "partial 16S ribosomal RNA". It matches the Rfam family "Bacterial small subunit ribosomal RNA", at positions 338 to 795 of the family's 1533-position model. The record is from RNAcentral.